CGACGUCGGCGAGGGCGGCGGAGGACAGCGACGACGCGAGCGGCGACAAGAGCGGUGACGACACGAGCGGCGACGAGAGCGGCGACGACGCGAGCGGCAACGAGAGCGGCGACGACGCGACCCUUGGUCGCGAGUUCGCGACCGCAAUCGCCGAUUUUUUGGGCGACUUAUUCGCGAAUCGCGAAUAAUUCGCUAAUAAUGAUUUUUGACGAAGAAAUCGCGUUUUUUUUCAAAAUUUUCGAAAAAAUACGGAAAUCGCCGUUUAAUUUGUAUGUUAAAAAAUACGCGAAUAAUUCGCGUAUUAAUCGCAAAUUAACUAACUAAGGUCUCGAGUACAUAAAAAUUAAAAUAUUUAUAA
This 358-nucleotide long non-coding RNA is filed under the name Ananas comosus (pineapple). Its description in RNAcentral is "long non-coding RNA (ACOM_LNC029420)". The record is from RNAcentral. Lineage: Eukaryota; Viridiplantae; Streptophyta; Magnoliopsida; Poales; Bromeliaceae.